Molecule: ribosomal RNA, 492 nt
Filed under: uncultured bacterium
Lineage: Bacteria
Description: partial 16S ribosomal RNA
Rfam family: Bacterial small subunit ribosomal RNA
Source: RNAcentral
AGUGAACGCUGGCGGUAGGCCUAACACAUGCAAGUCGAACGGCAGCACAGUAAGAGCUUGCUCUUACGGGUGGCGAGUGGCGGACGGGUGAGGAAUACAUCGGAAUCUACUUUUUCGUGGGGGAUAACGUAGGGAAACUUACGCUAAUACCGCAUACGACCUACGGGUGAAAGCAGGGGAUCUUCGGACCUUGCGCGAUUGAAUGAGCCGAUGUCGGAUUAGCUAGUUGGCGGGGUAAAGGCCCACCAAGGCGACGAUCCGUAGCUGGUCUGAGAGGAUGAUCGCCCACACUGGAACUGAAACACGGCCCAGACCCCUACGGGAGGCGGCAUGGGGGAAUUUUGGACAAGGGGCGCAAGCUGGACCCACCCAUCCCGGGGGGGGAAAGAAGCCCUUCGGGUUGAAAAGCCUUUUUGUGGGAAAAGAAAAGCAGCAGGUUAAUACCCCGCUGUUCGGACGGUACCAAAAGAAUAAGCACCGGCUAACUUCGUG